Molecule: ribosomal RNA, 253 nt
Filed under: uncultured bacterium
Lineage: Bacteria
Description: partial 16S ribosomal RNA
Rfam family: Bacterial small subunit ribosomal RNA
Source: RNAcentral
UACGUAGGGUGCAAGCGUUAAUCGGAAUUACUGGGCGUAAAGCGUGCGUAGGUGGUUCGUUAAGUCUGAUGUGAAAGCCCUGGGCUCAACCUGGGAAUGGCAUUGGAAACUGGCGACCUAGAGUGCGGUAGAGGGCAGUGGAAUUCCCGGUGUAGCAGUGAAAUGCGUAGAGAUCGGGAGGAACAUCUGUGGCGAAGGCGACUGCCUGGACCAGCACUGACACUGAGGCACGAAAGCGUGGGGAGCAAACAGG